UACAGAGGGUGCAAGCGUUGUUCGGAAUUAUUGGGCGUAAAGAGCGCGUAGGCGGUCCAGUAAGUCCGCUCUGAAAGUCCGGGGCUCAACCCCGGGAGGCGGGCGGAUACUGUCGGGCUAGAGUCCGGAAGAGGCGAGUGGAAUUCCUGGUGUAGCGGUGGAAUGCGCAGAUAUCAGGAGGAACACCAAUAGCGAAGGCAGCUCGCUGGGACGGUAUUGACGCUAAGGCGCGAAAGCGUGGGGAGCAAACAGGG
RNAcentral lists this ribosomal RNA (254 nucleotides) under uncultured bacterium. Its description in RNAcentral is "partial 16S ribosomal RNA". It matches the Rfam family "Bacterial small subunit ribosomal RNA", at positions 524 to 777 of the family's 1533-position model. The record is from RNAcentral.